CCGACGAACGGGGUCAGCCGGCCUGAUACGGGCGACCGGCCAGCACUGAGGUCACUGAGACUGGGCGGGGACUCCUACGGGAGGCAGCAGUGGGGAAUAUUGCACAAUGGGCGCAAGCCUGAUGCAGCGACGCCGCGUGAGGGAUGACGGCCUUCGGGUUGUAAACCUCUUUCAGGUUGGAAGAAGCGAAAGUGACGGUACCUGCAGAAAAAGCGCCGGCUAACUACGUGCCAGCAGCCGCGGUAAUACGUAGGGCGCAAGCGUUGUCCGGAAUUAUUGGGCGUAAAGAGCUCGUAGGCGGCUUGUCGCGUCGGUUGUGAAAGCCCGGGGCUUAACCCCGGGUCUGCAGUCGAUACGGGCAGGCUAGAGUUCGGUAGGGGAGAUCGGAAUUCCUGGUGUAGCGGUGAAAUGCGCAGAUAUCAGGAGGAACACCGGUGGCGAAGGCGGAUCUCUGGGCCGAUACUGACCCUGAGGACCGAAAGCGUGGGGAGCGAACAGGAUUAGAUACCCUGGUAUUCCACCCCGUAAACGGUGGGCACUAGGUGUGGGCAACAUUCCACGUUGUCCGUGCCGCACCUAACGCAUUAAUUGCCCCCCCUGGUGAGUACCGCCGCAAGGCUAAAACUCAAAGGAAUUGACGGGGGCCCGCACAUGCGGCGGACCAUGUGGCUUAAUUCCACGCACCGCGAAAAACCUUACCAAGGCUUGACAUACACCGCAAAGCAUCAAAGAUGGUGCCCCCCUUGUGGUCGCUGUACGUGUUGUGCAUGACUGUCGUCAGCUCGUGUCGUGAGAUUUUGGGUUAAAUCCCG
This 812-nucleotide ribosomal RNA is filed under the name Streptomyces sp. RNAcentral's name for it is "bacterial SSU rRNA". It matches the Rfam family "Bacterial small subunit ribosomal RNA", at positions 270 to 1089 of the family's 1533-position model. The record is from RNAcentral. Lineage: Bacteria; Bacillati; Actinomycetota; Actinomycetes; Kitasatosporales; Streptomycetaceae.